Molecule: long non-coding RNA, 856 nt
Filed under: Homo sapiens (human)
Lineage: Eukaryota; Metazoa; Chordata; Mammalia; Primates; Hominidae
Description: non-protein coding lnc-AFDN-1:3
Source: RNAcentral
AUUACAUUACAGCUCUACAAUGCACCAGACGGACCCAUCUGGAUUCUUUCGGGGCUCUUAGCCCUAGAAAUAGCAUCAUUUCUUCAAACUGGUAUAGAGACCCUUGGGGAGGGUCCAACCCUGCUGCGUUUAGCGUAGCUUGUCAUGGAGAGGUUCCAGUGUGUUUACACCUUUGAACCAUCACAACGCCCAGCAUGAACUCUUCAAACUUUUGUAUUCAUGGCUCCAAAUGUUGAAAUUUUAAAAAUGACUUUAAGGCUUUUUAUUUAUUUUUAAUUUUUUUCUACAACUUUAAAGCAAAACUCAAGUAUGAGCUCAGAAGUAUUUUUCUCUUUGAAAAUGUUUAAAAAAAAAUGCUGCAGGUAAAUGAAGCUGUUUCUUUGGGACCAGCCCAUGGAGUGCUGGAGUAGCUGUGAGGUGUGCGCCAGGCCAGGGGACUCACCCCGUUUGUGCUUCCAUGUUCUUGUAAAAUGUGGAUUGUAGUGGAGCCUACCCCAGAGGGCUGCUGAGAAAAUUAAAUUAGUUACUGCAUGUAACACUUAGAAAAUACAAACAUGAAGCGCGUUUAAUACCGAAUGCCCUCAUUGAACGUUCAUUGAUAAUGUUAUUGCUGUUGCUGCUUCUCACUCCACCUCUCUCACUGGGGCCUGGGAGCGGGGAUGCCUGCAGGUGUGUUGGAAUCCGUCAGUGCAAUGCCAGGGGCACGCAGGCAGAAGCGGGUGGGACUCGUCCUGGUAGUGGGGGCGAGUUCAAGGUAACGCAGCAGACAAGGAGAAAUGGAUUUUCAUUGACCGGUAAGUUUUAAAUGGAAAACAAUCAUUCAAAAGAGGCAAUUUGAGGACACAGUGAGCCUUCG